GAGCAGACACAUUCUAGCCAAUCAGCAGCAGACCCUCCCUCCCAGACCCUCCCACCUCCUGGACAGCAUCCAUUUUACAUUCAUUGUGAAGCUGCAUUCUUAGUGAGCUGUCCAGGAGGUGGGAGGGUCUGGGAGGGAGGGUCUGCUGCUGAUUGGCUGGAAUGUGUCUGCUG
This 173-nucleotide microRNA precursor is filed under the name Pelobates cultripes (western spadefoot toad). The record is from RNAcentral. Lineage: Eukaryota; Metazoa; Chordata; Amphibia; Anura; Pelobatidae.